Drosophila willistoni is the source of this 1175-nucleotide long non-coding RNA. RefSeq lists it as uncharacterized. The record is from RefSeq and is a predicted model, not a curated record. Lineage: Eukaryota; Metazoa; Arthropoda; Insecta; Diptera; Drosophilidae. The transcript is spliced from 4 exons.
CGCCGCUCGUUAUUAACUUUCCCAUCACAUAUGUUUGUUGACAGCGGUCAGCCGCAGAGGUUCCAUGGAUAGACACGCUUACCAACACAGACACAAAACGCUGGGUGACCCAAGCACGUUUAACACAAUUUAUCUCAAUGGAUGUCAGCGGACUAGUGACGAAACAUUAGAAGAAGAAGGAAAUGCGUCAACCAAUAUCUUGCAUUUGGCACUUGACAUUUAUACUGUAUGUAAGAGACACAAUACACAUGUAUGUAUGUAUCGGUGUGAGGUUGCACGUAACACAGCGUUUACCACCAUUACGAGGCAUCGUUUCUUUGUUCUUGGCUUAACGUUGGCAAUGUGCAACAGGGCGUAUGUGUAACAGACUUAGUGCCAUCGCCAUCGCCAUCGUUUACAUCAGCCAGACUGCCUGGCGACAUUGGGAUUGAAUACAAUUUCCUUCCAUCCAGAAUUUGUGGCCCCACCUACAUUGUUGGCAUCAGCUAAACCUAGUUACAUUUCAUACAUACUUAAUCUAUCAACCAAAGUCACAUGUAAAUGCCAUUAUUAUACAUUUGCAUACUAUUAUAAGCCGCAAAAUUGUGUGUGCAUACAAUUAACACAACUUCCUCCACACACACAAAAAAAAACAAAAAAAAAUACAAAUCUCGUACAACAAAAUGAAUUGCAAAGUCCAGGGUGCUAGUUGUCGGCGUCACCUUGUCGCCGGAAUCUCAAGCCCCGAGGGUCUGAAUAGGAAAUUCAAAACCCAGUUCGUCUGAUUUAUCAACAGCCAGCAGCAGCAGCAAGACUAGAAUUUAAAUGCAAAACGUGUAACCAACUUGUAACUUUUACAUAACUAACAAUGAGUGGGGAGAAAAAAAAACAAAAAUAGAACUUGAAACCAGCCAAACAAACUGAAAAAAACCCCUAUAAACCAAUUCAAUUGAAGGCUAAUGGUUUACCCUUGCAGACAAUCAAGGAAUGGAGAAGGAUAACCACAAGGACAUAACCCUUAUAUAAAAUUUUCACUUACAAUACAUUUUACCUUGUAGUUACAAUGAAUAUUCAAUGUGAAAGAUAUAUUUAUAAGCCAAUUUGGUUAUGACAACGUUCAGAUUGAACUAUGUUAUACAAUUCGUUAGGUUUGUGUUAACAAUUGUCAACAUUUUUAACAGAUUUAUCUAGAGUAU